AUACGGAGGAUCCGAGCGUUAUCCGGAUUUAUUGGGUUUAAAGGGUGCGCAGGCGGCCAUUUAAGUCAGCGGUUAAAUCGUGGGGCUCAACCCCAUUCUGCCGUUGAUACUGGGUGGCUUGAUUGCGGUCGAGGUUGGCGGAAUUCGUUGUGUAGCGGUGAAAUGCAUAGAUAUGACGAAGAACACCGAUUGCGUAGGCAGCUGACCAGACCGCAAAUGACGCUCACGCACGAAAGUGCGGGGAUCGAACAGGAUUAGAUACCCCGGUAGUCCGCACAGUAAACGAUGAAUACUUGUUUUCGGCGAUAUAAUGUCGGAGGCAAAGCGAAAGCGAUAAGUAUUCCACCUGGGGAGUACGCCGGCAACGGUGAAACUCAAAGGAAUUGACGGG
This 391-nucleotide ribosomal RNA is filed under the name uncultured bacterium. RNAcentral's name for it is "partial 16S ribosomal RNA". It matches the Rfam family "Bacterial small subunit ribosomal RNA", at positions 523 to 917 of the family's 1533-position model. The record is from RNAcentral.